Anguilla rostrata (American eel) is the source of this 682-nucleotide long non-coding RNA. RefSeq lists it as uncharacterized. Lineage: Eukaryota; Metazoa; Chordata; Actinopteri; Anguilliformes; Anguillidae. The record is from RefSeq and is a predicted model, not a curated record. The transcript is spliced from 2 exons.
AAGAAAUAACCGUUAAGGAGGAAUACCGGGACUCACCGUGCGUUCUCCACUGGCAGAGACAGGUGGCUGUGCGAACACGAAAGAUACGGCUGGAGGAUUUCCCGAAGGUGCUCAGGCAACGUUGGCCGGUCCGAAGCUCCUGAUUGUCUGGUCAGUCAGAGCACCUGGAUCUACAUAGAGUGACAUCAUGUGACCACUGUCCCCAUGCCCCCUGGUGAGCAGUACUGAUGACAGUGGAGUUCGGAUCAUGUGUCUUCACUGAGAUGUGUGUCUCUUUCUCUCUCUCUCUCUGUCUCUCUCUAACACACACACACACACACACACACACAUUGUUCCCUGACAGAUCCUCACUGAGAUGUGUUUCUCCAGUUGUAAAGCUGUUGAAAUAAGAGAAAGCUGGCCCUGCUCUGAAGCUACAGGAGGGCCCAGCAGAGCAGAGUGGUGCUUAAGGAAUGGGGUGUGCACUCAGAGGGGUCGAUGUUCCCAUUGUUGUUGCACCCUUGAGUAAUGAACCUGACGUUCUGUAGUGGGUGUCCUGCCGUAUGGCGAGAUAGUGUGGUGCAGUCCACCCAUGUACAAACCCCCCUUCCCCCCUCCAUGGCACUUUCUGUAUGUCAUGCUGUCUCUGUCUGUAUUCCCUCUGCUUUCCCCAUCGAAUAAAGUGAAUAAACUGAAAAAUGCA